AUAAAUACUAGUAAAAGAGAUUAUUACAUUGCUUUGUCGAAGCAAAAGUGCGGGUUAAACCCCCGCGUGUUUA
RNAcentral lists this transfer RNA (73 nucleotides) under Gymnogeophagus balzanii. Its description in RNAcentral is "tRNA-Asp". It matches the Rfam family "tRNA". Rfam says of the family: Transfer RNA (tRNA) molecules are approximately 80 nucleotides in length. Their secondary structure includes four short double-helical elements and three loops (D, anti-codon, and T loops). Further hydrogen bonds mediate the characteristic L-shaped molecular structure. tRNAs have two regions of fundamental functional importance: the anti-codon, which is responsible for specific mRNA codon recognition, and the 3' end, to which the tRNAs corresponding amino acid is attached (by aminoacyl-tRNA synthetases). tRNAs cope with the degeneracy of the genetic code in two manners: having more than one tRNA (with a specific anti-codon) for a particular amino acid; and 'wobble' base-pairing, i.e. permitting non-standard base-pairing at the 3rd anti-codon position. Lineage: Eukaryota; Metazoa; Chordata; Actinopteri; Cichliformes; Cichlidae. The record is from RNAcentral.